This 467-nucleotide ribosomal RNA is filed under the name uncultured bacterium. RNAcentral describes it as "partial 16S ribosomal RNA". It matches the Rfam family "Bacterial small subunit ribosomal RNA", at positions 28 to 506 of the family's 1533-position model. The record is from RNAcentral.
GACGAACGCUGGCGGCGUGCUUAACACAUGCAAGUCGAACGGAAAGGCCCUGCUUUUGUGGGGUGCUCGAGUGGCGAACGGGUGAGUAACACGUGAGUAACCUGCCCUUGACUUUGGGAUAACUUCAGGAAACUGGGGCUAAUACCGGAUAGGAGCUCCUGCUGCAUGGUGGGGGUUGGAAAGUUUCGGCGGUUGGGGAUGGACUCGCGGCUUAUCAGCUUGUUGGUGGGGUAGUGGCUUACCAAGGCUUUGACGGGUAGCCGGCCUGAGAGGGUGACCGGCCACAUUGGGACUGCGAUACGGCCCAGACUCCUCCGGGAGGCAGCAGUGGGGAAUAUUGCACAAUGGGCGGAAGCCUGAUGCAGCAACGCCGCGUGCGGGAUGACGGCCUUCGGGUUGUAAACCGCUUUCGCCUGUGACGAAGCGUGAGUGACGGUAAUGGGUAAAGAAGCACCGGCUAACUACGU